This 816-nucleotide long non-coding RNA is filed under the name Salmo salar (Atlantic salmon). Its description in RNAcentral is "lncRNA (ENSSSAG00000110337.1)". Lineage: Eukaryota; Metazoa; Chordata; Actinopteri; Salmoniformes; Salmonidae. The record is from RNAcentral.
UGGUCCGGAAGGGCAGAGGAAGAGCCCAGACCACUGCUCUCGUGGGGGAUAACGGCGAAGGAGGAGGCAGAGAUGUGGCAGGUCCUGGAGGACCUGCGUAGGGACAGCGUGGAGGAAGAGCCUUGGGUGGCAGAGGUGCGCACGGUAUCGCCAGUGCGCCUGCACAGCCCAGUGCGCUCUGUGCCAGCGCCCCACAUUUGCCGGGCUAGGGGGAGUGUUCAGCGAGGACGUGUUGUGCCGGCUCAGCGCUCCUGGCCUCCAGUGCCCCUUCUCGGUCCGAUGUAUCCUGCGCCGAGGACGCGCACUGUGUCUCCGGUACGGCUACACAGCCCAGUGCGUUCUGUGCCAGCGCUCCACACUUGCCAGGCUAAGGUGGGUGUUGAGCCAGAACGGGUGAUGUCAGCUGUGCACUCCAGACCUCCAGUGCGCCUCCUCGGUCCAGGAUAUCCGGCGCCGCUUAUGCGCACUGUGUCGCCGGUGUGCGGCCCCAGUCCAGUCCGGACCGUCCCUGCUCCCCGCACCAAGCCAGUGGUGUGUGCCCCCAGUCCAGUCCGGCCCGUCCCUGCUCCCCGCACCAGGUUAGUGGUGCGUGUCCCCAGUCCUGUCCGGCCCGUCCCUGCUCCCCGCACCAGGUUAGUGGUGCGCGUCCCCAGUCCAGUCCGGCCCGUCCCUGCUCCCCGCACCAAGCCAGUGGUGUGUGCCCCCAGUCCAGUCCGGCCCGUCCCUGCUCCCCGCACCAGGUUAGUGGUGCGUGUCCCCAGUCCUGUCCGGCCCGUCCCUGCUCCCCGCACCAAGCCAGUGGUGUGUGCCCCCAGU